AGAGUUUGAUCCUGGCUCAGAACGAACGUUGGCGGCGUGGAUUAGGCAUGCAGGUCGAACGAAUCUCACCGGCUGUAGCAAUACAGUUGGUGGGGGAAGUGGCGAAAGGGGCAGUAAUGCGUGGGUAACCUACCUCGGGGACCGGGAUAGCCUUCCUAACGGAAGGGUAAUACCGGGCGAUGCGGCCGAGGGGCAUCUUUUGGCCGUGAGAUGAAUUUCGCCUCGGGAGGGGCUCACGUGAUAUUAGCUUGUUGGUGGGGUAACGGCCUACCAAGGCAAAGAUGUCUAGCGGGUGUGAGAGCACGACCCGCGCCACUGGCACUGAGACACUGGCCAGACUCCUACGGGAGGCUGCAGUCGAGGAUCUUCGGCAAUGGGCGCAAGCCUGACCGAGCGACGCCGCGUGUGCGAUGAAGGCCUUCGGGUUGUAAAGCACUGUCGGGGGGGAGAAAACCGCAAGGUUGAUCUAUCCCCGGAGGAAGCACGGGCUAAGUUCGUGCCAGCAGCCGCGGUAAGACGAACCGUGCGAACGUUGUUCGGAAUCACUGGGCUUAAAGGGCGCGU
This 564-nucleotide ribosomal RNA is filed under the name uncultured Terriglobales bacterium. Its description in RNAcentral is "bacterial SSU rRNA". It matches the Rfam family "Bacterial small subunit ribosomal RNA", at positions 8 to 572 of the family's 1533-position model. The record is from RNAcentral. Lineage: Bacteria; Pseudomonadati; Acidobacteriota; Terriglobia; Terriglobales.